ACGUAGGGGGCGAGCGUUGUCCGGAAUUACUGGGCGUAAAGGGUGCGUAGGUGGCCUUUUAAGUUGGAUGUGAAAUCCCCGGGCUUAACUUGGGUGGUGCAUCUAAUACUGGUGGGCUAGAGUGCAGGAGAGGGAAGCGGAAUUCCUAGUGUAGGGGUGAAAUGCUUGAAUCCUAGGAGGACCACCAGUGGCGAAGGCGGCUCUCUGGAAUGUAUCCGACAGUGAGGCACGAAAGCGUGGGGAGCAAACCG
RNAcentral lists this ribosomal RNA (251 nucleotides) under uncultured prokaryote. RNAcentral describes it as "partial 16S rRNA". It matches the Rfam family "Bacterial small subunit ribosomal RNA", at positions 525 to 775 of the family's 1533-position model. The record is from RNAcentral.